This 134-nucleotide ribosomal RNA is filed under the name uncultured bacterium. RNAcentral describes it as "partial 16S ribosomal RNA". It matches the Rfam family "Bacterial small subunit ribosomal RNA", at positions 1369 to 1501 of the family's 1533-position model. The record is from RNAcentral.
CGUUCCCGGGUCUUGUACACACCGCCCGUCAAGUCAUGAAAGUCGGUAACACCUGAAGCCGGUGGCCUAACCCUUGUGGAGGGAGCCGUCGAAGGUGGGAUCGGUAAUUAGGACUAAGUCGUAACAAGGUACCC